GACGAACGCUGGCGGCGUGCUUAACACAUGCAAGUCGAACGGUGAAGCGCUUGCCUUUUUGGUGGGUGUGGAUGAGUGGCGAACGGGUGAGUAACACGUGAGUAACCUGCCCUCUUCUUCUGGAUAACCUCAUGAAAGUGGGGCUAAUACGGGGUAUUCCGGGUCUGUCGCAUGGCGGGUUUGGGAAAGAUUGCGCCUUUGGGUGUUUUCGGUGGGGGAUGGGCUCGCGGCCUAUCAGCUUGUUGGUGGGGGGAUGGCCUACCAAGGCGGUGACGGGUAGCCGGCCUGAGAGGGUGGACGGCCACACUGGGACUGAGACACAGCCCAGACUCCUGCGGGAGGCAGCAGUGGGGAAUAUGGCACAAGGGGCGCAAGCCGGAUGCAGCGACGCCGCGUGAGGGAUGGAGGCCUUCGGGUGGUGAACCUCUUUCGCCAGUGAAGCAGGCCUGCUCCUGUGUGGGUGGGUUGACGGUAGCUGGAUAAGAAGCGCCGGCUAACUACGUG
Molecule: ribosomal RNA, 504 nt
Filed under: uncultured bacterium
Lineage: Bacteria
Description: partial 16S ribosomal RNA
Rfam family: Bacterial small subunit ribosomal RNA
Source: RNAcentral